This 253-nucleotide ribosomal RNA is filed under the name uncultured bacterium. RNAcentral's name for it is "partial 16S ribosomal RNA". It matches the Rfam family "Bacterial small subunit ribosomal RNA", at positions 524 to 776 of the family's 1533-position model. The record is from RNAcentral.
GACAGAGGUGCCAAGCGUUAGGCGGAAUCACUGGGCUUAAAGCGUGUGUAGGUGGAUGCCUAAGUAUCUUGUGAAAUCCCACGGCUCAACCGUGGAACUGCUGGGUAUACUGGGUGUCUUGGGUCAGCUAGGGGUCGCCGGAACAAAUGGUGGAGCGGUGAAAUGCGUAGAUAUCAUUUGGAACGCCAAUGGCGAAAGCAGGCGACUGGGGCUGUACCGACACUGAGACACGAAAGCCAGGGGAGCGAACGGG